UACGUAUGUCGCAAGCGUUAUCCGGAUUUAUUGGGCGUAAAGCGCGUCUAGGCGGUUUAGUAAGUCUGAUGUGAAAAUGCGGGGCUCAACCCCGUAUUGCGUUGGAAACUGCUAAACUAGAGUACUGGAGAGGUAGGCGGAACUACAAGUGUAGAGGUGAAAUUCGUAGAUAUUUGUAGGAAUGCCGAUGGGGAAGCCAGCCUACUGGACAGAUACUGACGCUAAAGCGCGAAAGCGUGGGUAGCAAACA
RNAcentral lists this ribosomal RNA (250 nucleotides) under uncultured bacterium. RNAcentral describes it as "partial 16S ribosomal RNA". It matches the Rfam family "Bacterial small subunit ribosomal RNA", at positions 524 to 774 of the family's 1533-position model. The record is from RNAcentral.